GACGAACGCUGGCGGCGUGCUUAACACAUGCAAGUCGAACGGAAAGGCCCUGCUUUUGUGGGGUGCUCGAGUGGCGAACGGGUGAGUAACACGUGAGUAACCUGCCCCUGACUUUGGGAUAACUUCAGGAAACUGGGGCUAAUACCGGAUAGGAGCUCCUGCUGCAUGGGGGGGGUUGGAAAGUUUCGGCGGUUGGGGAUGGACUCGCGGCUUAUCAGCUUGUUGGUGGGGUAGUGGCUUACCAAGGCUUUGACGGGUAGCCGGCCUGAGAGGGUGACCGGCCACAUUGGGACUGAGAUACGGCCCAGACUCCUACGGGAGGCAGCAGUGGGGAAUAUUGCACAAUGGGCGGAAGCCUGAUGCAGCAACGCCGCGUGCGGGAUGACGGCCUUCGGGUUGUAAACCGCUUUCGCCUGUGGCGAAGCGUGAGUGACGGUAAUGGGUAAAGAAGCACCGGCUAACUACGUG
RNAcentral lists this ribosomal RNA (468 nucleotides) under uncultured bacterium. RNAcentral describes it as "partial 16S ribosomal RNA". It matches the Rfam family "Bacterial small subunit ribosomal RNA", at positions 28 to 507 of the family's 1533-position model. The record is from RNAcentral.